CGCAGCAGGCGCGAAAACUUUACAAUGCGGGCAACCGUGAUAAGGGAACCUCGAGUGCCUGUAUAUGCAGGCUGUCCAGGUGUCUAAAGCACACCUGAAGAAAGGGCCGGGCAAGACCGGUGCCAGCCGCCGCGGUAAUACCGGCGGCUCGAGUGGUGGCCACUUUUAUUGGGCUUAAAGCGUUCGUAGCUGGGUUGUUAAGUCUCUUGGGAAAUCCGACGGCUCAACCGUCGGGCGUCUAAGGGAUACUGGCAAUCUUGGAACCGGGAGAGGUGAGGGGUACUUCGGGGGUAGGAGUGAAAUCCUGUAAUCCUCGAGGGACCACCUGUGGCGAAGGCGCCUCACCAGAACGGCUUCGACAGUGAGGGACGAAAGCUGGGGGAGCAAACCGGAUUAGAUACCCGGGUAGUCCCAGCCGUAAACGAUGCGCGUUAGGUGUAUCGACGACCACGAGUCGUCGAGGUGCCGAAGGGAAACCGUGAAACGUGCCGCCUGGGAAGUACGGUCGCAAGGCUGAAACUUAAAGGAAUUGGCGGGGGAGCACCACAACAGGUGGAGCCUGCGGUUU
RNAcentral lists this ribosomal RNA (568 nucleotides) under uncultured archaeon. Its description in RNAcentral is "bacterial SSU rRNA". It matches the Rfam family "Archaeal small subunit ribosomal RNA", at positions 331 to 903 of the family's 1478-position model. The record is from RNAcentral.